This 426-nucleotide ribosomal RNA is filed under the name uncultured bacterium. RNAcentral's name for it is "partial 16S ribosomal RNA". It matches the Rfam family "Bacterial small subunit ribosomal RNA", at positions 355 to 773 of the family's 1533-position model. The record is from RNAcentral.
UAGGGAAUCUUCCACAAUGGACGCAAGUCUGAUGGAGCAACGCCGCGUGAGUGAAGAAGGCUUUCGGGUCGUAAAACUCUGUUAUUGAAGAAGAACGUGUGUGACAGUAACUGGUCAUGCAGUGACGGUAUUCAAUCAGAAAGUCACGGCUAACUACGUGCCAGCAGCCGCGGUAAUACGUAGGUGGCAAGCGUUGUCCGGAUUUAUUGGGCGUAAAGCGAGUGCAGGCGGUCUUUUAAGUCUGAUGUGAAAGCCUUCGGCUUAACCGAAGAAGGGCAUCGGAAACUGGGAGACUUGAGUGCAGAAGAGGAGAGUGGAACUCCAUGUGUAGCGGUGAAAUGCGUAGAUAUAUGGAAGAACACCAGUGGCGAAGGCGGCUCUCUGGUCUGUAACUGACGCUGAGGCUCGAAAGCGUGGGUAGCAAAC